UGUCGGUUAUGUUAAUUUUUGUUGCUUAUGUAUAUAUGAUUUUGAAAACAAUUUUGAUGAUUUAGUGCAUGUCAGAGACAUUCCUUUAUAUACUGUAAAUUAUUUGUUUCUUACUUCUUUCCUUCUUUAUUAUUAUUAUUAUUAUUAUUUAUAGGACUUUCUAUUAACAGAACAUAAAGCAAGUGUGUGUGUGUGUGUACGGAGCUUGAAACUCCCAUGAGUGGUUUGUUUUAAAAUUAAAUAUCACAGUUCCAUAUUUUUUUGUUUUUGUUUGAAUUUUGUAGGAUUUUCAUGCGGUGGGACAUCAGGACUGUUGAUCACACCAGAUAUUAUGAUAAACCAACAUUUUUGGCCUUGUGAGGAACCUAUCAGCUCAAUCAGAAAGUUGAGUAGCAGCAUACGAGUUUCCUGAAGUCCUGAAGUGGUGGGACUUCUUGACUGCCCGGUGCUGAAUGCUGCUCCGCUUGACUGCCCAGUGAUGUGCUGCACAUCUUUCAUCAAGUUUCCUUCCUUUUCUCAUAUGAAGAUUGCCAUCCAAGCUCAGAGCAGAAUGAUGGUCUACUUGUUAUUCUCUUUCUCUAUUUUUGUAUUUGGCUCAGGAAUAGAGAGCGAGAGUGGUGGGACUUCUCUGAUGAGAACCAGCAAAUUGUGGUAACCAUUCUUAGUGCAGUGGUAAAAACUCCUGCCUGCCAAGCACGAGGGCAUGUCGCGAACCAGGAAACCUACAAAUUAUGUAAGCCAUUAAGCCGAGCAUUUGGGGAAUUGAUUUUUAUUUUUCAGUGAAGUCUAUAUUGUGUUUGGUUUAUAUUUGGGUAAACUAGGGCAAUGCUUGCAAGGUCUUUAAUAAAGUUCUGAUGGAAAAUUUGGACCAUUGGUGAAGGUGGUGUUAUAUGGUAUUGGUUAGAAUUUAAUUUCGAAAGUUAGCUAUUAAA
Molecule: long non-coding RNA, 932 nt
Organism: Camellia sinensis
Lineage: Eukaryota; Viridiplantae; Streptophyta; Magnoliopsida; Ericales; Theaceae
Source: RefSeq, a predicted model, not a curated record